Molecule: ribosomal RNA, 229 nt
Filed under: uncultured bacterium
Lineage: Bacteria
Description: partial 16S ribosomal RNA
Rfam family: Bacterial small subunit ribosomal RNA
Source: RNAcentral
UACGUAGGCGGAAAUCUAAGUCAGUGGUGAAAUCCCGCAGCUCAACUGUGGAACUGUCAUUGAUACUGGUUUUCUUGAAUAUAGUUGAGGUAGGCGGAAUGUGUAAUGUAGCGGUGAAAUGCUUAGAUAUUACACAGAACACCGAUUGCGAAGGCAGCUUACUAAGCUAUGAUUGACGCUGAGGUACGAAAGCGUGGGGAGCGAACAGGAUUAGAUACCCUGGUAGUCC